Long non-coding RNA from Astyanax mexicanus (Mexican tetra), 368 nucleotides. RefSeq lists it as uncharacterized. The record is from RefSeq and is a predicted model, not a curated record. NCBI's taxonomy places the organism in Eukaryota, Metazoa, Chordata, Actinopteri, Characiformes, Acestrorhamphidae. The transcript has 2 exons.
UACCAAUGUGGACAGCUAAAGCUUUACCUCAGCUAAAUAUGAAGACAAUUUGAGAAAUAUUAAAUGAAAUUAAUAUUUGUUGGAAAUUCUCAGGCAGAUAGAUAGACGAUAGAGAACUCCAAAAACCAUAAUUCUUUGCAACAGGAAGGGGUGGAGUUUAGAGUUUAUAAGGUCACAGUCAGCCAUUUUUUUUUCUGUUUUUCUGUUGUUUGUGAUGGAAUUAGGGUUUAUGACUCUGGAUUUACUAUGACUUGAAAAUGAUGUGUCCCAGAAACACUGUUCCUUGGAUGUGCUCUUGUGUAAAACCAGACAUCCACCCAUGCUUUUCCUCAGUCAUUCAGGCAUCAUAGAGUUCUACAGUCUUUUAC